GACGAACGCUGGCGGCGUGCCUAACACAUGCAAGUCGAACGGAAAGGCCCUGCUCUUGCGCGGUGCUCGUGUGUCGCGCACGUGAGUAUCACGCGUGUAACCUCCCCCUGACAUUGGGAUAACACUAGGAAACUCGGUCUCUAACCCGAUAGGAGCUCCUGCGGCACGGUUGGGGUUGGAAAGUUGCGGCAUUUCGGGAUGGAGUCGCGGUCUAUCAGCUUGUUGGUGAGGUAGUGGCUUACCAAGGCGUUGACGGGUAGCCAGACUGAGAGGGUGACCGGGCACAGUGGGACUGAGAGAGGAGCCAGACUCAUACUGGAGGCAGCAGUGGGGACUAGUGCGCAAAAGGCCGCAUGCGGAUGCAACGACGUCGCGUGCGGGAUGACUGCCGUCGGGUUGUAAACCGCUUUCGCCUGUAACGAACCGUGAGUGACGGUAAUUUAUCAGAAAGCAACGGCUAACUACGUG
RNAcentral lists this ribosomal RNA (468 nucleotides) under uncultured bacterium. RNAcentral's name for it is "partial 16S ribosomal RNA". It matches the Rfam family "Bacterial small subunit ribosomal RNA", at positions 28 to 507 of the family's 1533-position model. The record is from RNAcentral.